AAUAAGAGUUUAUUUUCAAGUUCAAAGGAACUCACUAGUAAAGCUCCCAGGUAAUGAUGAAAAGGCUGGGGAGCAAGGCAUUACUGCAAAGGGAGAGGCAGACGCUUAGGACCUUCCCUAACGAGGACAUUUAUGUUACAAAUGAUGGGUUAUGUUAUGUAUAGACAUUUUAUGUUGGGAUGGACUCUGAGAGUCUCUUAUGGAUGAAUGUUCAAAUAGAAUGUCCAUUAGGUGUUCCCUUUUAUUAAAUGAAAAAUUUAGAGUGCA
This is a long non-coding RNA of Juglans microcarpa x Juglans regia, 267 nucleotides long. RefSeq lists it as uncharacterized. The transcript has 2 exons. The record is from RefSeq and is a predicted model, not a curated record. Lineage: Eukaryota; Viridiplantae; Streptophyta; Magnoliopsida; Fagales; Juglandaceae.